This is a long non-coding RNA of Pezoporus occidentalis (night parrot), 5042 nucleotides long. RefSeq lists it as uncharacterized. The transcript is spliced from 2 exons. Lineage: Eukaryota; Metazoa; Chordata; Aves; Psittaciformes; Psittacidae. The record is from RefSeq and is a predicted model, not a curated record.
AUCUUCAGCUUUGAUCUCCUUUAUUAUAUUUUUUUCUUUUCAAAUGACUUUCCCUUUAUUAAGUCCAAAGGAUAUGUUAGAAGUUGUGUUGGUCUCUGCUUUCUGUAACACUUUGUGCAUGCUUUCACUCUUGCUUAUUGCAGAGUCUUUCUGACUGCAUUUUGUGGAUAGCUUCUUGCAUCUUCCAGAUUGUUUUCCUUUUGUAAGUUCCUUUAGGUUUAUGAUUUUUUUACCUGUACUCUGUAGCAUCCAUCCCAAGCUGUAAUCUAAUCUUCUGUGCUAAAGGGCAGCUGACCUUCAUUUUGCCUCUCAGCUCAAGCAGGUUCUAAGAGUGCUUUCUAAAUCCUUUUUCCCCUUCAGUCCUCACACAAUCUAAUGUCCUAUUAGCAAUUAUACAAUCUCUCCCUUCAUGUAACUUUUUUGACUGAAAGUUCUCACAUCUAUCAUAAUGUUGUCAAAAAAUGCCUCCUGUUUCUUCUUUCACUGCACAGCUCAAAUUCCUUACUAAGAUAAUGCACUCUACAUUUCUUUAGUGUGGUCUGAAAUGUGAUUAGUUUCACUGCAUGAAACUGUAGGCUAAAACCCAAACCUAAGCUUUGUGACAGCACUAUCAAAACUGGGUUUUUCCCACCAGGUCUUCCUCCAGUAAUUGCUAUUUCUGUGUAAUCUGAGUUAGUCUGAUUAGCUCCAUGAUGUGUCCCACUCACCAGCUUCUCUCUUCCUUCCCAGAUCAAGUUUUGAAUUUGUUUUCUAUUUUUUCCCCCCACUCAGCUUCUAGUUUUACUUGUUUCUGUUAACAUGCCAUAUGUAGGCAGUUUCCUGAUCUGAAACAUAAUAAUAAGACUCAGAAAUAGUACAAAAACUUCACUGCAUACCAUCUGGGAAGGCCAUCAUUGCUGUGGGCAGCAUGAGGAACAUGGAGUUGGUCGCCAGGUGAUCUACUCCCACAUCUGCUGAGAUUUUGUUGGGGAACCCGGGGAAACUUAGAAGUAUUGACUUCUGCAGCUGAAACACUGAUAACCACCAGUUAACGCUGUUGCUAACCAACCAGGGUUAGGCAUCUGCUCAGUGCAUAUACCAGGGACUGGCACACUCAGAAGGCAGAAAAUGGCAUGCCUGGGUUUAAGCAGAGGCAAAAAAGGAAACCAGAAACCUUUUAGGACUUGUUGUCUUCCCAGAGGAUUUGGAAACCAGACAGUAUUCUGGCUGUGAAAUGAUGACAACAGUCCAGGAAUUCCUGUUGAGUUUGGGUUUCCCUCUCAAGACUUCUGUUAAGCCACCUGCUAGAAGCUGAUAGGUUUUUUUUCUUUUUUCCUUCCUUCUUCUUUCUUCUUCUUUUUCUCCGCAUCCCUUCCCUCUUUGUUCUUUUCUUUUUUCUUUCUCUUUUUUUUUUUCUCCCUUUCAUCUUUUUUUGAGACAAUUCUGCACUUCUGAUGGUUCCUGCUGCUUACUCAUUUGGUGUCAUGGAAACACUGGUACAGCCUCGAUGAUUCCCUGUAGUGGGUUGAGUAUGGGAAGCAGGUAAAAUUCACUGCACCCAGCUCCUAGUCCCAGCCACUAGUGAAGAAGUCCUGCUUGAAAUGCUUGGGAGUCCUGCAGUGCUGGCCAGUCCUUGAAGUGUCAGUGAUACUCUGAGGGGAGCUUCUGAUGCCACCUCUACUGUCACAACCAUAAUUUCUGUAGCGUUCAACCUACUCUGCAGCCUCAGUGAUGUCUGCCGAGGUGGAGGAGCUGUUCCAGGCAGAUCAGCGAGGCGGACCACAGAAAUGAGAGAUAGAUCUUAGAGGCAGAACACUUACUUGUUUAUAAUAUAAUUAAUACAUGUGAUGUGCUGUGCUGCUGACUCUUUAGUGUAGCUUCUGUCCUGAAUUUGUCUCACAUAGCCCCAUGACCAGCAGAAGUGGCUGUCUUCACCAGAGGGAAUGUACAUAUUUAAAACCACUUGCUAGAAAACUACUUGUGUAAAUUGGGGAAGUAAGAUGGUGUUUGUGUCUGACAGAGCAUGAAAUGUGGGAAACAUAUAAAAUUUUCCAUUCUUUUGCUUAACCUUGUGAUUUAAUUUCUGAAGAUACUGGAGAUUCCUACAACUGAAAGAUUAGACAAAGUCAUGGUAUUCAACACCUGCAAAGAAAUGGAAAAGUAUUGGGACGAUAGUUUGAGAUGUAGGUCAUGGUGCAUGUGGCAAGGGAGAAGCUGUGAAAGAGGAAGCACUAAGUAGAAGGCUUGGAUUUCCUGAGGCUGUGUAGGAGGAGAUCUGUGUGAGAGACAUUCUGUGUUUCUCUGUAUCGCCAGGGUGGCUGCUUAACUGUGAGGCUGUUUGCCAAGAAGGAUGCUGCUUGGGUGACUGAUUAUUGUGAUCAAAAAGGAUGAAGUGCUAUUCAAAGAAAAAAACAAAGAAUACCUAAAUCAUGUGUAGGUACUAUUUUAAGUGCCCACAUCCAUUUCUGAGGAAUGGAAUUUGAUAGCUUGAAUCUGUUUGUGUGAAGGGAUCAAAAGAGGAGCCUUCCAUGUGCACAAGAGGACACAUGUCUGCACUGUUCAUGCUGCCAGUUCAAGAGGGAGCAGCACUAGACAAAAUGACCUCAUUCUGUGGAAAUAACAUAGAGAAGGCGGCAUUGCAUGCCUGUGUUGGCAAUUUUUCAUAUGCCCUUCUAUGUAAGAGUGGCUGAUCAGAGACAUGCCAAAGCCUGCUAGCCUGGCUCCUGUUUCCAGCAGUGGCAAGCGCUGGAUCUCUGGAGAAGAAGAGGAGGGCAGCAGAUCAUGAUACAUCCCUCACAGACACGGAUGUGCAGCUCAGGGACUUUCUAAUCCAAGACAACAUACUUGUAUGUAAUGGUCCUCGAUGGAUUUCUCUUCUCCAGUGGGUUUGUUUGGUCUCUUUUGAACUGCUGCAAAAUUCUAGUGCUUGCAUCAAGUGGCAUCAGUGGGAUCUGCAGUAGUGCUAGGCAGCUCUUGUUCCACUUCUGCCUGCCUUCACGUUUCCUUUCAAGACAUGGUCCAGAGAAACCUGAGCAUGCAGAUGACAAGAUGACUCAGUUGUCCAGCCACACACAUUGUGCUAUUUGCUGUCUCUCCCUUCCUUCAUCAUCAGCACCAUAAAGAACAGCUCCACUCUGUGGGCCUCUUGAGGUGAAGGGUGGCAGGACUCGAGGUGUCCUCUCACAUGUGACCUACCCAGACUGGCAAUGGGAAGGCACUGCAAGAGCUGCACUGGGAGGUGGUGGAGGACAUAGAGGAUGGAAAAGGUGAAAAUAGAGAUUACUGAUUUCCACUGCUACCAGGCACUGAUUUGUUUUUCCUUCCACCUCCACAUCUUUCCUCUCAUGUGUCGCAUGCUGGUGCUCACCCAAGGUCAGGAUGGAAAGCUGCUGUUACUGGCUGGCUGAUGCUAACCAGUGGCAGGCAUACAGAGAAGUAGUAAGCACCUCUCCCUGUCUGUGUGCUGGCUGCCGCUUAGGGGCUGCCAUCUCUUUUGCCCUUUGCAAGCAGUGCCUUUCAUGCAUGUCUUGUGUUUUGCCUCAGUGCCUUCCCAUAGUGCACAUGCAUUUUGAUGGAUUUGGCACCUUUUUCAUAAUUUUACUUCUGUCACUCAGGACCCCAUGAGGUCGAGGUCUGAACCCUGUUUAUUUUCAUAGGCAAAGCAGAGCCUUUCAAAAAUUGCUGUAAGAGAAACAGUUUUUAUACUGUGUGUUUAUCUGUGAGGAAAGUGCUCUUUCCUUUUGGAAAUCCUAAAAUCUCACUGCAGAAGAGAGUGCCAGAAAGCUAUCCCACAUGCUGGCAAGGAACAAUAGCAAAACAAGGCCCAUGGUGAUGUUUUCCAACCCUGCACCGAAGGGCUGAGGAGAAGGUGGCAAGCACCACAGAGAUGAAUGAGACACCAGGGAUACAUCACCCCACCAGACAUCAUCUGUGCAUGCUGUGGGAAGAAGGUCUAAGGCAUUUUCCUUAGGAUGGAGGCCAGGGAAGGAAGAAGCAUGCCUGAGGAAGACCACCUGACAUACAUUGGUUGUCUUGGCCUUCUUGGUACUGAUAUGAACAGAAAAUAAGAAAACACUUUUUUGAAGACCAGAUAAGGAAGUGUAGCCACCCCUUCAGCCAUGCCAUCAACUGCAACCAUCUAGCUCUAACCUAGUUCAGUGUCAGGCCAUAGUCUGCUGAGAUCAGAUCUAACACCACAAAAGGAAGAGGUUUCUUUUUCCCCAGCCGCAUACACACUUUCUCCAUUAAGGGAUUUUGCAAAGGCACUGGUGAACAGAGAGUAGCUGUGAGCACUGACAUACCUGCCUUCUCAAGGCAUGCAGGAAACCACCACCCGUUCUUCAGGUGGAAAAAUCUGUCCUGGCAAAUAAGAGAGGGGAAGGCUUGAAACAAGGGAAAAGAGUCUUAGCUCAGCUCUUUUGCCUCUUCUGACUUCAAACACCACAGCCUCAGGUUCAUUCAGGCACACAGAUUUAAUGGGGAGACCAAGGCAUGUUCCACUGUGUGCAGUGUGUCUGUUUCAUCACAUGCUCAGAUACAGGUCAUAUGGCUACACCAUAUUUUUUGUUCCAUUUUCCAUAUUAUUUUGGAUCCGGCUGGGACUUGGAUGAAGACAACCAAUCCGUAAAGAUAAGAAGUGCUUGUGCAUGGGUGUAUAUGCAUAUGCUAAACCUCUGAUAUGUUUUUCUGUAGGCAGAAGAGCACGUGGAAAAGAGAAGCCUGGGGCAGGAGGUGGAUGAAUGACUUCCAUUCCGCAGAAUGAAUCCAUCUCGUGUGCCUGCUAUCUGUGAGCACAGUUUUGACUGGAGAAUUUAUGGAACUCAUGGGACAGUGUUUGGAAAGGUACAAGUGAAUGAGCUGGACCUGCAUCAAAAUGCUUUAGGUGUUUCCAGAGUGCAGGGAAGAGCGCAGCACAAGCUGUGCUUCCUACUGCGUGAGCCUGAUCCGACCUCCUCAGACCUUUUGUAACUCGUAAAGCAACAAAAUGCAGUGGUGAAAGCUGCCAGAUCAGUCCCAUCUGUUGAUGCAUUAAAAUAAACUUGUGUGAAAACACCUGGCAAGAA